GCCCUUGAAGACGAAUGGAUAGUCAACGCUUUUACACGGCGUGCAAAGCAGGUUCGAUUCCUGUCAGGGGUAC
This 73-nucleotide transfer RNA is filed under the name Rhodococcus phage Trina. RNAcentral describes it as "tRNA-Val". It matches the Rfam family "tRNA". From Rfam's summary of the family: Transfer RNA (tRNA) molecules are approximately 80 nucleotides in length. Lineage: Duplodnaviria; Heunggongvirae; Uroviricota; Caudoviricetes. The record is from RNAcentral.